This is a long non-coding RNA of Culex pipiens pallens (northern house mosquito), 409 nucleotides long. RefSeq lists it as uncharacterized. NCBI's taxonomy places the organism in Eukaryota, Metazoa, Arthropoda, Insecta, Diptera, Culicidae. The transcript has 2 exons. The record is from RefSeq and is a predicted model, not a curated record.
CGCAGCUGCGAAUAUCGCAACGGCCCCUUAGUAGGCCUUUUAGUGCAUUAUUUAGCUCAUGUCAGUUUAUCUUCUAUCAACAUCUGUGGAAAAAUGUCCGAGAAUCCGACUGCCGUUUUCAAGCAACACGCCUCAAUUAGGUGUAUCACAACAAUUGCGAACUAGAUACAAGCGGGAUGGCGUUUUCAUCCGUACAGAAAGGGAAAAAGUGUUCUUGCGGUUCAGCCCAGUGCCAAUUUGAACCGUAUCCAGCGCACCCCAGGGAUCAAUUCCGUGUGGGUUUUAGAUGGUGCUAGCAUUCAUAGCUGGUGGGUUUUUCGACCCAAACAAAGGUCUAUACCAAAAAUUCGAGAAAUUGGGAAUUAAGCGUGUUUGAUGAUUGAAAUAAAGAAAUCAUUGUAAACUUGUU